GACGAACGUUCGCGGCGUGCUUAACACAUGAAAGUCGAACGGAAAGGCCCUGCUUUUGUGGGGUGCUCGAGUGGCGAACGGGUGAGUAACACGUGAGUAACCUGCCCUUGACUUUGGGAUAACUUCAGGAAACUGGGGCUAAUACCGGAUAGGAGCUCCUGCUGCAUGGUGGGGGUUGGAAAGUUUCGGCGGGUGGGGAUGGACUCGCGGCUUAUCAGCUGGCUGGUGGGGCAGUGGCUUACCAAGGCUUUGACGGGUAGCCGGCCUGAGAGGGUGACCGGCCACAUUGGAACUGAGAAACGGCCCAGACUCCUACGGGAGACAGCAGUGGGGAAUAUUGCACAAUGGGCGGAAGCCUGAUGCAGCAACGCCGCGUGCGGGAUGACGGCCUUCGGGUUGUAAACCGCUUUCGCCUGUGACGAAGCGUGAGUGACGGUAAUGGGUAAAGAAGCACCGGCUAACUACGUG
Molecule: ribosomal RNA, 468 nt
Filed under: uncultured bacterium
Lineage: Bacteria
Description: partial 16S ribosomal RNA
Rfam family: Bacterial small subunit ribosomal RNA
Source: RNAcentral